RNAcentral lists this transfer RNA (75 nucleotides) under Spirochaetota bacterium. RNAcentral describes it as "Spirochaetes bacterium (freshwater sediment metagenome) tRNA-Asp". It matches the Rfam family "tRNA". From Rfam's summary of the family: Transfer RNA (tRNA) molecules are approximately 80 nucleotides in length. Their secondary structure includes four short double-helical elements and three loops (D, anti-codon, and T loops). The record is from RNAcentral. Lineage: Bacteria; Pseudomonadati; Spirochaetota.
GGGGUCGUAGCUCAACUUGGUUAGAGUACCGGACUGUCGAUCCGGGUGUUGCGGGUUCAAGUCCCGUCGACCCCG